GGUUGUGGCUCAGUGGUAGAGCGCUUGCCUAGCAUGUGUGAGGCACUGGGGUUGAUCCCCAGCAUCA
Molecule: transfer RNA, 67 nt
Filed under: Marmota monax (woodchuck)
Lineage: Eukaryota; Metazoa; Chordata; Mammalia; Rodentia; Sciuridae
Description: tRNA.Ala
Source: RNAcentral